GUUUCUGUAGUGUAGUGGUCAUCACGUUCGCCUAAAACAUGAAAGGUCCUCGGUUCGAAACCGAGCAGAAACA
RNAcentral lists this transfer RNA (73 nucleotides) under Danio rerio (zebrafish). Its description in RNAcentral is "tRNA-Phe (AAA) (tRNA-Phe-AAA-4-1)". It matches the Rfam family "tRNA". From Rfam's summary of the family: Transfer RNA (tRNA) molecules are approximately 80 nucleotides in length. Their secondary structure includes four short double-helical elements and three loops (D, anti-codon, and T loops). Lineage: Eukaryota; Metazoa; Chordata; Actinopteri; Cypriniformes; Danionidae. The record is from Rfam by way of RNAcentral.